GCGGGAGUAGCACAGUGGUAGUGCGCCAGCCUUCCAAGCUGGAUACGCGGGUUCGAUCCCCGUCUCCCGCUCCA
Molecule: transfer RNA, 74 nt
Filed under: Candidatus Portnoyibacteriota bacterium
Lineage: Bacteria; Candidatus Portnoyibacteriota
Description: Candidatus Portnoybacteria bacterium tRNA-Gly
Rfam family: tRNA
About the family: Transfer RNA (tRNA) molecules are approximately 80 nucleotides in length. Their secondary structure includes four short double-helical elements and three loops (D, anti-codon, and T loops).
Source: RNAcentral